This 1509-nucleotide ribosomal RNA is filed under the name Helicobacter pylori. RNAcentral's name for it is "bacterial SSU rRNA". It matches the Rfam family "Bacterial small subunit ribosomal RNA". Lineage: Bacteria; Pseudomonadati; Campylobacterota; Epsilonproteobacteria; Campylobacterales; Helicobacteraceae. The record is from RNAcentral.
UUUAUGGAGAGUUUGAUCCUGGCUCAGAGUGAACGCUGGCGGCGUGCCUAAUACAUGCAAGUCGAACGAUGAAGCUUCUAGCUUGCUAGAGUGCUGAUUAGUGGCGCACGGGUGAGUAACGCAUAGGUCAUGUGCCUCUUAGUUUGGGAUAGCCAUUGGAAACGAUGAUUAAUACCAGAUACUCCCUACGGGGGAAAGAUUUAUCGCUAAGAGAUCAGCCUAUGUCCUAUCAGCUUGUUGGUAAGGUAAUGGCUUACCAAGGCUAUGACGGGUAUCCGGCCUGAGAGGGUGAACGGACACACUGGAACUGAGACACGGUCCAGACUCCUACGGGAGGCAGCAGUAGGGAAUAUUGCUCAAUGGGGGAAACCCUGAAGCAGCAACGCCGCGUGGAGGAUGAAGGUUUUAGGAUUGUAAACUCCUUUUGUUAGAGAAGAUAAUGACGGUAUCUAACGAAUAAGCACCGGCUAACUCCGUGCCAGCAGCCGCGGUAAUACGGAGGGUGCAAGCGUUACUCGGAAUCACUGGGCGUAAAGAGCGCGUAGGCGGGAUAGUCAGUCAGGUGUGAAAUCCUAUGGCUUAACCAUAGAACUGCAUUUGAAACUACUAUUCUAGAGUGUGGGAGAGGUAGGUGGAAUUCUUGGUGUAGGGGUAAAAUCCGUAGAGAUCAAGAGGAAUACUCAUUGCGAAGGCGACCUGCUGGAACAUUACUGACGCUGAUUGCGCGAAAGCGUGGGGAGCAAACAGGAUUAGAUACCCUGGUAGUCCACGCCCUAAACGAUGGAUGCUAGUUGUUGGAGGGCUUAGUCUCUCCAGUAAUGCAGCUAACGCAUUAAGCAUCCCGCCUGGGGAGUACGGUCGCAAGAUUAAAACUCAAAGGAAUAGACGGGGACCCGCACAAGCGGUGGAGCAUGUGGUUUAAUUCGAAGAUACACGAAGAACCUUACCUAGGUUUGACAUUGAGAGAAUCCGCUAGAAAUAGUGGAGUGUCUGGCUUGCCAGACCUUGAAAACAGGUGCUGCACGGCUGUCGUCAGCUCGUGUCGUGAGAUGUUGGGUUAAGUCCCGCAACGAGCGCAACCCCCUUUCUUAGUUGCUAACAGGUCAUGCUGAGAACUCUAAGGAUACUGCCUCCGUAAGGAGGAGGAAGGUGGGGACGACGUCAAGUCAUCAUGGCCCUUACGCCUAGGGCUACACACGUGCUACAAUGGGGUGCACAAAGAGAAGCAAUACUGCGAAGUGGAGCCAAUCUUCAAAACACCUCUCAGUUCGGAUUGUAGGCUGCAACUCGCCUGCAUGAAGCUGGAAUCGCUAGUAAUCGCAAAUCAGCCAUGUUGCGGUGAAUACGUUCCCGGGUCUUGUACUCACCGCCCGUCACACCAUGGGAGUUGUGUUUGCCUUAAGUCAGGAUGCUAAAUUGGCUACUGCCCACGGCACACACAGCGACUGGGGUGAAGUCGUAACAAGGUAACCGUAGGUGAACCUGCGGUUGGAUCACCUCCUUUCUAGA